UUCCAAAGAUGGGAAUCGAACCCACAAUGUUCCGCUUACCGGGCAGAUGUCAUGUCCACUAGGCUUCGA
Molecule: transfer RNA, 69 nt
Filed under: Cordylochernes scorpioides
Lineage: Eukaryota; Metazoa; Arthropoda; Arachnida; Pseudoscorpiones; Chernetidae
Description: tRNA-Thr
Source: RNAcentral